Molecule: ribosomal RNA, 246 nt
Filed under: uncultured bacterium
Lineage: Bacteria
Description: partial 16S ribosomal RNA
Rfam family: Bacterial small subunit ribosomal RNA
Source: RNAcentral
CACGCCGUAAACGAUGUCAACUAGCCGUUGGAUUCCUUGAGGAUUUAGUGGCGCAGCUAACGCAUUAAGUUGACCGCCUGGGGAGUACGGCCGCAAGGUUAAAACUCAAAUGAAUUGACGGGGGCCCGCACAAGCGGUGGAGCAUGUGGUUUAAUUCGAAGCAACGCGAAGAACCUUACCAGGCCUUGACAUGCAGAGAACUUUCCAGAGAUGGAUUGGUGCCUUCGGGAACUCUGACACAGGUGC